GUGCUUGCUUCGGCAGCACAUAUACUAAAAUUUGAAUGAUACAGAGAAGAUUAGCAUGGCCUCUGCGCAAGGAUGACACGCAAAUUCGUGACGCGUUCCAUAUUAAA
Molecule: small nuclear RNA, 107 nt
Organism: Moschus moschiferus (Siberian musk deer)
Lineage: Eukaryota; Metazoa; Chordata; Mammalia; Artiodactyla; Moschidae
Source: Ensembl